GGGGAAUUUUGGACAAUGGGCGAAAGCCUGAUCCAGCAAUGCCGCGUGUGUGAAGAAGGCCUUCGGGUUGUAAAGCACUUUUGUCCGGAAAGAAAUCCUUGGCUCUAAUACAGUCGGGGGAUGACGGUACCGGAAGAAUAAGCACCGGCUAACUACGUGCCAGCAGCCGCGGUAAUACGUAGGGUGCGAGCGUUAAUCGGAAUUACUGGGCGUAAAGCGUGCGCAGGCGGUUUGCUAAGACCGAUGUGAAAUCCCCGGGCUCAACCUGGGAACUGCAUUGGUGACUGGCAGGCUAGAGUAUGGCAGAGGGGGGUAGAAUUCCACGUGUAGCAGUGAAAUGCGUAGAGAUGUGGAGGAAUACCGAUGGCGAAGGCAGCCCCCUGGGCCAAUACUGACGCUCAUGCACGAAAGCGUGGGGAGCAAAC
This 425-nucleotide ribosomal RNA is filed under the name uncultured bacterium. RNAcentral's name for it is "bacterial SSU rRNA". It matches the Rfam family "Bacterial small subunit ribosomal RNA", at positions 356 to 773 of the family's 1533-position model. The record is from RNAcentral.